AAAGAUAACUUGUCAAAUCCGUUCGUUCGUCAUAUGUCAAAUUCAAUCAACUCAAAUCCACAUAAAACUUUAUGAAAACUCCUUUCCAUCAUUCACCUACCAUAGUUAUGAAUUUAGGACUCAGUCUCAUGAACUGUAUAGGAUCUUUUUCAUCUAUCAGGGUCAACAGAUUCUAUCUUGGUGUACAUCCUAUUCCUACACUAGACCUACUAUAGCCAACAUACAUCAUAAAAUUUUAAAUGGCUAGGUAACUAAGUGAUUGUGUAGUCAAACUAUAGCAAUCUCACUGUGAACAGUCGAGGUACCAUAGAUUAAAGCACUAUCUAUAUAACUGCAAUAUCGAGUA
RNAcentral lists this long non-coding RNA (346 nucleotides) under Elaeis guineensis (African oil palm). Its description in RNAcentral is "long non-coding RNA (EGUI_LNC008292)". The record is from RNAcentral. Lineage: Eukaryota; Viridiplantae; Streptophyta; Magnoliopsida; Arecales; Arecaceae.